CAGAAUGCCAGAGUACUUGAAAGAUUAUGGUCUGAAGUAUUUGGGGAGCUGGUUAACAGACCUUUUCAGGAUUUCCAGUUGUUCACGUGCCACAUUAGAAGUUUGACAUUUACUCGUCUGGACGUGGACCAGGAUAAUGUCGUUGUCAGGUUCCAGCAGGGUUCAAGUCUUCAGUUUGAGUUCAGGAACCUGAGCUUCACU
This is a long non-coding RNA of Sander lucioperca (pikeperch), 201 nucleotides long. RefSeq lists it as uncharacterized. The record is from RefSeq and is a predicted model, not a curated record. Lineage: Eukaryota; Metazoa; Chordata; Actinopteri; Perciformes; Percidae. The transcript has 4 exons.